UUCAGUCUAGAGUUGACCGUACCGCAAACCGACACAGGUGGGCAGGAUGAAAAUUCUAAGGCGCUUGAGAGAACUCAGGAGAAGGAACUCGGCAAAUUAACACCGUAACUUCGGGAGAAGGUGUGCCCCGGUAGCGUGUAGAGACUUGCUCUCGAAGCGCGAUGGGGUUGCAGUGAAAUGGUGGCUGCGACUGUUUAAUAAAAACACAGCACUCUGCAAACACGAAAGUGGACGUAUAGGGUGUGACGCCUGCCCGGUGCCGGAAGGUUAAGUGAUGGGGUGCAAGCUCUUGAUCGAAGCCCCGGUAAACGGCGGCCGUAACGAUAACGGUCCUAAGGUAGCGAAAUUCCUUGUCGGGUAAGUUCCGACCUGCACGAAUGGCGUAACGAUGGCCACACUGUCUCCUCCUGGGACUCAGCGAAGUUGAAAUGUUUGUGAAGAUGCAAUCUACCCGCGGCUAGACGGAAAGACCCCAUGAACCUUUACUGUAGCUUUGCAUUGGACUUUGAACCGGUUUGUGUAGGAUAGGUGGGAGACUGUGAAGCCGGGACGCUAGUUUCGGUGGAGUCAACCUUGAAAUACCACCCUGAUUUGUUUGAGGUUCUAACCUUGGUCCGUGAAUCCGGAUCGGGGACCGUGCAUGGUAGGCAGUUUGACUGGGGCGGUCUCCUCCCAAAAGGUAACGGAGGAGUACGAAGGUACGCUUAGGGCGGUCGGACAUCGCCCACAAAGUGCAAUGGCAAAAGCGUGCUUGACUGCGAGACCCACAAGUCGAGCAGGUACGAAAGUAGGUCAUAGUGAUCCGGUGGUUCUGUAUGGAAGGGCCAUCGCUCAACGGAUAAAAGGUACUCUGGGGAUAACAGGCUAAUUCCUCCCAAGAGUUCAUAUCGACGGGGGAGUUUGGCACCUCGAUGUCGGCUCAUCACAUCCUGGGGCUGUAGUCGGUCCCAAGGGUAUGGCUGUUCGCCAUUUAAAGUGGUACGCGAGCUGGGUUUAAAACGUCGUGAGACAGUUUGGUCCCUAUCUGCCGUGGGCGCUGGAAAUUUGAAGGGGGCUGCUCCUAGUACGAGAGGACCGGAGUGGACGAACCUCUGGUGUACCGGUUAUGACGCCAGUCGUAUCGCCGGGUAGCUAAGUUCGGAAGAGAUAAACGCUGAAAGCAUCUAAGCGUGAAACUCGCCUUAAGAUAAGAUUUCCCGGAGUCUUGAACUCCCUGAAGGGUCGUCGAAGACCACGACGUUGAUAGGUCAGGUGUGGAAGCGCAGCAAUGCGUUAAGCUAACUGAUACUAAUUGCCCGUGCGGCUUGAUCCG
This 1312-nucleotide ribosomal RNA is filed under the name metagenome. Its description in RNAcentral is "bacterial LSU rRNA". It matches the Rfam family "Bacterial large subunit ribosomal RNA", at positions 1626 to 2925 of the family's 2925-position model. The record is from RNAcentral.